Molecule: transfer RNA, 85 nt
Filed under: Felis catus (domestic cat)
Lineage: Eukaryota; Metazoa; Chordata; Mammalia; Carnivora; Felidae
Rfam family: tRNA
About the family: Transfer RNA (tRNA) molecules are approximately 80 nucleotides in length. Their secondary structure includes four short double-helical elements and three loops (D, anti-codon, and T loops). Further hydrogen bonds mediate the characteristic L-shaped molecular structure. tRNAs have two regions of fundamental functional importance: the anti-codon, which is responsible for specific mRNA codon recognition, and the 3' end, to which the tRNAs corresponding amino acid is attached (by aminoacyl-tRNA synthetases). tRNAs cope with the degeneracy of the genetic code in two manners: having more than one tRNA (with a specific anti-codon) for a particular amino acid; and 'wobble' base-pairing, i.e. permitting non-standard base-pairing at the 3rd anti-codon position.
Source: Rfam by way of RNAcentral
GCCUGGGUGGCCCAGUCGGUUAAGCGUCCGACUUCGGCUCAGGUCAUGACCUCGCAGUUCGUGGGUUCGAGCCCCGCCUCAGGCU